Molecule: ribosomal RNA, 2621 nt
Filed under: Triticum aestivum (bread wheat)
Lineage: Eukaryota; Viridiplantae; Streptophyta; Magnoliopsida; Poales; Poaceae
Description: partial small subunit ribosomal RNA
Source: RNAcentral
AGACUGGCGGCAAUCACUGUUUCAUGCAUUUUUGGUGGACAAUCUUCAGUUGACCUGAGUGCUGACUUGCUGUCCCGUUGCCAACAAUGUCCGGCUUGCUGAAUUCAAAUCUUAACAGCUCCACAUCGAACCUUCCAGACUCAUCUGGACGGCCAUUCACAACAUCCUUUUCUGGUCAAUCUGGCUCAGUUCAAGGUUUCCAUCACUCUGGUCUGCACAACAUUCAUGGAAAUUAUAGUCUUCCAAAUAUGCCUGGAUCACUUGCACAAAGGAAUGCUGCCAUGAGUGGCCUUCCAUCCUCUGGGGUUCAACAACCUGGAGGGAGCAUUUCUGGGAGAUUUGCUUCAAACAACCUUCCUGUUGCCAUGUCUCAGAUUCCUCAUGCACAUUCAGGUGUCAGUGGUAGAGGACUGAAUGUUGGUGGAGGUCAAGCAUUCAGCAGUGGAAUGAACAUGGGCGGUAACAUUCAAGGUUUAUCCUCAAACUUGGGCACCAGUGGUAGUCGAAAUUCUGUUCCUGGCAAUCCAGCUUUAGGAAACCUGGGCCCACGUAUUACAAGCUCUGCGGGAAACAUUGUGGGUGGAAGUAACAUUGGAAGAAACAUAAGCUCUGGUGGAUUGUCGGUGCCGAGUAUCUCAUCGCGCAUUGAUUUUAGUGGCAAUGCUGCAAGUGGAAGACUAAAUGUGCAAGGAUCCAACAGGAUGAUGAAUGGCCUUAUUCCGCAAGGAUCGUCGCAACUGAUGAAUAUGAUUGGAAGUUCAUACCCAACGUCUGGUGGUUCAUUAUCCCAGAACCAAAUGCAACCAGGAAAUAGUUCUCUGGGUUCUAUGGGGAUGCUACAUGACGCCAGUGACAGCGCUCCAUUCGACAUUAAUGAUUUCCCCCAAUUGACUGGUCGACCUAAUUCAGCUGGUGGUCCACAGGGACAAUAUGGAUCACUACGGAAGCAAGGAGUUGGCGUUAACUCCAUUGUUCAACAAAACCAGGAGUUCAGUAUUCAGAACGAAGAUUUCCCCGCUUUGCCAGGAUUUAAAGGUGGCAGUUCAGAUUAUCCUAUGGAGUUACAUCACAAGGAACAACUUCACGAGAAUGUACCUGUAAUGCAAGGACAACAAUAUCCUAUGUCAAGGUCAGUUGGGUUUAAUUUGGGAAGUAGCUAUCAACCAAAUCGUCAGCAACAUCAGCAGGGUGCUGCUAAUUCAAUUCAGAGCGGUGGGCCCCAAAAUAUUGGACUAAGACCACUAAACUCUCAGAGUCAAACUUCUAGUUUGGGAUCAUACGAGCAACUGCUCCAGCAAUACCAGCAGCCGCAGACUCAGAGUCCUUUCAGGUUGCAGCAGAUGUCUUCUUCAGCUGCACAGACAUAUGCGGAUCAUGGUCUAAAGCCCAUUCUGGGAGGCCGAACCCCACCUGAUCCAUACGGCUUGUUAGGAUUGCUGGGAGUUAUAAGGAUGAAUGAUCCUGAUUUGUCAUCUCUUGCUUUGGGAAUAGAUUUGACAACGUUGGGUUUGAAUUUGAAUUCACCAGACAAUCUGUAUAAGACAUUUGGCUCUCCAUUUUCAAAUGAACCAGCAAAAGGAGAUCCCGAAUAUACUACUCCAGCUUGUUAUGUUGCUGAGCAACCCCCAGCACUACAGCCUAUGCAUUUUCAGAAGUUCCAGACACUCAUACUGUUAUACAUAUUCUACAGCAUGCCGAAGGAUGAAGCUCAAAUAUGUGCUGCCAAUGAACUAUAUAAUCGUGGAUGGUAUUACCAUAAAGAAGCACGGCAAUGGUUCACAAGAAUUUCUAACAUGGAGCCUCUUGUCAAAACUCCUACAUAUGAACGGGGGUCUUAUGCCUUCUUUGAUCAAGGCAAUUGGGAGACAGUCCGUAAGGAUAACUUUGUUCUCCAUUAUGAGCUAGUAGAGAAAAGGCCAAGUCUCCCUUCCGCAUCCCAAAUUGUUAGGUGAAAUUUUUCUGGGUACCUCCUGACUCUAGCUUUCUUGUACAUGAAUAGGGAGCUUUCUUUACAAACAUAGUGAAGCGACAUUGCCCUAAUUUGUCGAGCAGGCCAGGCUAUAUAUGUAGUGAAUGAAUGAGGAAGUAUCUUGUCAGUCAUGUCGAUCAAUAUGCGGAGAGGAGGAGGCUAGACCAGGAAGAGAGCGAAAAAAAGGUGGUGUUUGUAAUUAUAGUUGUUAGGAGGAGGAAAAUUAAAGGAUGGAUGGAUGGAUGGAUGAUACCGUUGGGCAUUAAACAUUACAUUUACAUUUACAUUUACAUAGCUGCUGCUGCUUCUUUUUACAAUCAAUGAUGUAUGUAUGUAUGUAUGUCUCUCUCUAUUGCUCGCUCGCUCCUUUACAAAACAGCAGUUUAGGACUAGUCACUCAGUCGGCCGUGUGCAUUGCAUUGAUAUAUGGAUCAUGGAUGGAUGGAUGGAUGGAUUGUUUAUAUAUUUAAACUCAAUCAACCAAACAAAACAAAACAAAUUGGUUUAUGUUGUCUCUGUUUGUCUUGCAAUUGGAGACUCGUCGAGUUAUGCAUCUGCUGUGUUGCUCGCCAGCAGGCUGCUGUGUGUGAUUCCCAAUUUCUUGAAAGAAUUGCAGAAUGGCGCGGUGGUGGUGAAAUGUAACCGCUGUUGA